RNAcentral lists this transfer RNA (71 nucleotides) under Octopus vulgaris (common octopus). It matches the Rfam family "tRNA". From Rfam's summary of the family: Transfer RNA (tRNA) molecules are approximately 80 nucleotides in length. Their secondary structure includes four short double-helical elements and three loops (D, anti-codon, and T loops). Lineage: Eukaryota; Metazoa; Mollusca; Cephalopoda; Octopoda; Octopodidae. The record is from Rfam by way of RNAcentral. RNAcentral also lists the same sequence under 1 other name.
GCGUCGGUUGUUCAGUGGUAGAAUGCUCGCCUCCCAUGUGAGUGGCCCGGGUUCGAUUCCCGGCCGACGCA